This 62-nucleotide transfer RNA is filed under the name Pelagomacellicephala iliffei. RNAcentral describes it as "tRNA-Leu". Lineage: Eukaryota; Metazoa; Annelida; Polychaeta; Phyllodocida; Polynoidae. The record is from RNAcentral.
CCCAUGUUGGCAGAAUCAUGCAGUUGACUUAAGAUCACCUUAUGGAAAUUAAUCCACAUGGU